This is a long non-coding RNA of Aplysia californica (California sea hare), 677 nucleotides long. RefSeq lists it as uncharacterized. The record is from RefSeq and is a predicted model, not a curated record. NCBI's taxonomy places the organism in Eukaryota, Metazoa, Mollusca, Gastropoda, Aplysiida, Aplysiidae. The transcript has 3 exons.
UGCAGGGAGGAGGAAAGAGUGGGGUGGGCAUCGGCGUAAACCCUGGCAUGAACAUCCAUCCACCAUCACUUCUUUUUAUCCUCGCUCACUGUUGUUGAUCGCUCGAGGAAGGAAGGAGGCGGAGUAAAAACACCCUGAACAUUUCCCCAUCAAUCGUUUCUGAGUGAUAGCUUUUCAAAACCGUCGCUAUUCUAUAUUUUCCUCUAAAAUGAAAACUGUUGUUUAGAGUUGGUGCCUAUUGCGGAAACGUGGACCUUUUUCGCACUAUUGUUGGACUAGCUAUUUCAAUAAGAUGUGUGAAAAAGUUAUUUUUUUCAAAUGAUGUUAAAAUCUAACGUAGUGUUUGCUACCACACACAUGUUUCAUGACAAUUCUAAACAAUUGUUGGAAGACCCUGUGCUCUGUAUUUGUAUUAGCCCCUGAAGUGCAAAACAUGUUUCAGUAAGAGAAAGUCUAGAAUCUAGAAUCAACUCUCGGAUAUAUAAGCUGAGACUUCAAAGGAGAGUGAAUUGGAAAGAGCUGUUCAGAAAGAGAGCGGUUUCUUCUUUUUGGAUUCUAGCUGCAACUGAAAAAUGAUGGGUACUUGGACCGUAUGCGCCCUGUUGGUGAUGGAACUGACUUGGUCAGUGAGAGCAGCAUUGGACUGUUACAAGGGAAGCAACGUUCAAGAAUUGCAA